Molecule: non-coding RNA, 45 nt
Organism: Schistosoma mansoni
Lineage: Eukaryota; Metazoa; Platyhelminthes; Trematoda; Strigeidida; Schistosomatidae
Source: Rfam
AUCCAAAUGACGAGUUCCAAAUAGGACUAGAGGCGCGUCAUGGAU